GUGGGGAAUAUUGCACAAUGGGGGAAACCCUGAUGCAGCAACGCCGCGUGAGUGAUGAAGGCCUUCGGGUUGUAAAGCUCUGUCUUUGGGGACGAUAAUGACGGUACCCAAGGAGGAAGCCACGGCUAACUACGUGCCAGCAGCCGCGGUAAUACGUAGGUGGCAAGCGUUGUCCGGAUUUACUGGGCGUAAAGGGAGCGUAGGUGGAUAUUUAAGUGGGAUGUGAAAUCCCCGGGCUUAACCUGGGGGCUGCAUUCCAAACUGGAUGUCUAGAGUGCAGGAGAGGAGAGUGGAAUUCCUAGUGUAGCGGUGAAAUGCGUAGAGAUUAGGAAGAACACCAGUGGCGAAGGCGAUUCUCUGGACUGUAACUGACGCUGAGGCUCGAAAGCGUGGGGAGCAAACAGGAUUAGAAACCCGGGUAGUCC
This 425-nucleotide ribosomal RNA is filed under the name uncultured bacterium. Its description in RNAcentral is "partial 16S ribosomal RNA". It matches the Rfam family "Bacterial small subunit ribosomal RNA", at positions 354 to 796 of the family's 1533-position model. The record is from RNAcentral.